RNAcentral lists this ribosomal RNA (492 nucleotides) under uncultured bacterium. RNAcentral describes it as "partial 16S ribosomal RNA". It matches the Rfam family "Bacterial small subunit ribosomal RNA", at positions 29 to 507 of the family's 1533-position model. The record is from RNAcentral.
AGUGAACGCUGGCGGUAGGCCUAACACAUGCAAGUCGAACGGCAGCACAGUAAGAGCUUGCUCUUACGGGUGGCGAGUGGCGGACGGGUGAGGAAUACAUCGGAAUCUACUUUUUCGUGGGGGAUAACGUAGGGAAACUUACGCUAAUACCGCAUACGACCUACGGGUGAAAGCAGGGGAUCUUCGGACCUUGCGCGAUUGAAUGAGCCGAUGUCGGAUUAGCUAGUUGGCGGGGUAAAGGCCCACCAAGGCGACGAUCCGUAGCUGGUCUGAGAGGAUGAUCAGCCACACUGGAACUGAGACACGGUCAAGACUCCUACGGAAGGCAGCAGUGGGGAAUAUUGGACAAUGGGCGCAAGCCUGAUCCAGCCAUACCGCGUGGGUGAAGAAGGCCUUCGGGUUGUAAAGCCCUUUUGUUGGGAAAGAAAAGCAGCAGGUUAAUACCCCGCUGUUCUGACGGUACCCAAAGAAUAAGCACCGGCUAACUUCGUG